RNAcentral lists this ribosomal RNA (113 nucleotides) under Escherichia coli. RNAcentral describes it as "ESRP 4.5S RNA from Escherichia coli (PDB 5GAD, chain 1)". The stretch from base 9 to 105 matches the Rfam family "Bacterial small signal recognition particle RNA". Rfam says of the family: The signal recognition particle (SRP) is a universally conserved ribonucleoprotein involved in the co-translational targeting of proteins to membranes. Lineage: Bacteria; Pseudomonadati; Pseudomonadota; Gammaproteobacteria; Enterobacterales; Enterobacteriaceae. The record is from RNAcentral.
GGGGGCUCUGUUGGUUCUCCCGCAACGCUACUCUGUUUACCAGGUCAGGUCCGGAAGGAAGCAGCCAAGGCAGAUGACGCGUGUGCCGGGAUGUAGCUGGCAGGGCCCCCACC